RNAcentral lists this ribosomal RNA (561 nucleotides) under Dichotomopilus indicus. RNAcentral describes it as "eukaryotic LSU rRNA". It matches the Rfam family "Eukaryotic large subunit ribosomal RNA", at positions 38 to 625 of the family's 3401-position model. Lineage: Eukaryota; Fungi; Ascomycota; Sordariomycetes; Sordariales; Chaetomiaceae. The record is from RNAcentral.
GCAUAUCAAUAAGCGGAGGAAAAGAAACCAACAGGGAUUGCCCUAGUAACGGCGAGUGAAGCGGCAACAGCUCAAAUUUGAAAUCUGGCUUCGGCCCGAGUUGUAAUUUGCAGAGGAAGCUUUAGGCGCGGCACCUUCUGAGUCCCCUGGAACGGGGCGCCAUAGAGGGUGAGAGCCCCGUAUAGUUGGAUGCCUAGCCUGUGUAAAGCUCCUUCGACGAGUCGAGUAGUUUGGGAAUGCUGCUCAAAAUGGGAGGUAAAUUUCUUCUAAAGCUAAAUACCGGCCAGAGACCGAUAGCGCACAAGUAGAGUGAUCGAAAGAUGAAAAGCACUUUGAAAAGAGGGUUAAACAGCACGUGAAAUUGUUGAAAGGGAAGCGCUUGUGACCAGACUUGCGCCGGGCUGAUCAUCCGGUGUUCUCACCGGUGCACUCGGCCCGGCACAGGCCAGCAUCGGUUCUCGCGGGGGGAUAAAGGUCCCGGGAACGUAGCUCCUCCGGGAGUGUUAUAGCCCGGGGCGUAAUGCCCUCGCGGGGACCGAGGUUCGCGCAUCUGCAAGGAUG